Molecule: small nucleolar RNA, 83 nt
Filed under: Castor canadensis (American beaver)
Lineage: Eukaryota; Metazoa; Chordata; Mammalia; Rodentia; Castoridae
Description: Small nucleolar RNA SNORA44 (ENSCCNG00000002246.1)
Rfam family: Small nucleolar RNA SNORA44
About the family: ACA44 is a member of the H/ACA class of snoRNA that guide the sites of modification of uridines to pseudouridines.
Source: RNAcentral
UCUAUAACUGUAUUCAAAGGCAACCUGGAGAGACUUUGACAGCUCAGGUCACCACAAUACCUGCAGCUGUUACUGGCCUUUCC